GUCGAGAAUAAUUCACAAUGGACGAAAGUCUGAUGGUGCAACGCCGCGUGGAGGAUGACGGUCUUCGGAUUGUAAACUCCUGUCAUCCGGGAGUAAGACCUGGCUGUGAAUAGCAGACAGGGUUGAUAGUACCGGAAGAGGAAGGGACGGCUAACUUCGUGCCAGCAGCCGCGGUAAUACGAAGGUCCCGAGCGUUGUUCGGAAUCACUGGGCGUAAAGGGAGCGUAGGCGGCGUGGUAAGUCAGAUGUGAAAUCCCGGGGCUCAACCCCGGAACUGCAUCCGAUACUGCCGUGCUAGAGGAUUGGAGAGGUAGCUGGAAUUCUGGGUGUAGCAGUGAAAUGCGUGGAGAUCAAGAGGAACACUCGUGGCGAAAGCGAGCUACUGGACAAUAUCUGACGCUGAGGCUCGAAGGCCAGGGUAGCGAAAGGGAUUAGAAACCCUAGUAGUCC
RNAcentral lists this ribosomal RNA (450 nucleotides) under uncultured bacterium. RNAcentral's name for it is "partial 16S ribosomal RNA". It matches the Rfam family "Bacterial small subunit ribosomal RNA", at positions 354 to 796 of the family's 1533-position model. The record is from RNAcentral.